GUAGGUGGCAAGCGUUGUCCGGAAUUAUUGGGCGUAAAGCGCGCGCAGGCGGUCCUUUAAGUCUGAUGUGAAAGCCCACGGCUCAACCGUGGAGGGUCAUUGGAAACUGGGGGACUUGAGUACAGAAGAGGAAAGCGGAAUUCCAAGUGUAGCGGUGAAAUGCGUAGAGAUUUGGAGGAACACCAGUGGCGAAGGCGGCUUUCUGGUCUGUAACUGACGCUGAGGCGCGAAAGCGUGGGGAGCAAACAGGGAUUAGAUACCCUGGUAGUCCACGCCGUAAACGAUGAGUGCUAAGUGUUAGGGGGUUUCCCGCCCCCUUAGUGCUGCAGCUAACGCAUUAAGCACUCCGCCUGGGAGUACGCCGCAAGGCUG
This 372-nucleotide ribosomal RNA is filed under the name uncultured organism. RNAcentral's name for it is "partial 16S ribosomal RNA". It matches the Rfam family "Bacterial small subunit ribosomal RNA", at positions 527 to 896 of the family's 1533-position model. The record is from RNAcentral.